GACAGAGGUGCCGAGCGUUAGGCGGAAUCACUGGGCUUAAAGCGUGUGUAGGCGGAUCGUUAAGUGCCUUGUGAAAUCCCACGGCUCAACCGUGGAACUGCUUGGCAUACUGGCGAUCUUGAGCCACUUAGGGGCAACCGGAACAAACGGUGGAGCGGUGAAAUGCGCAGAUAUCAGGAGGAACACCGAUGGCGAAGGCAGCUCGCUGGGACGGUACUGACGCUGAGGCGCGAAAGCGUGGGGAGCAAACAGG
RNAcentral lists this ribosomal RNA (253 nucleotides) under uncultured bacterium. Its description in RNAcentral is "partial 16S ribosomal RNA". It matches the Rfam family "Bacterial small subunit ribosomal RNA", at positions 524 to 776 of the family's 1533-position model. The record is from RNAcentral.